Cyprinus carpio (common carp) is the source of this 492-nucleotide long non-coding RNA. RefSeq lists it as uncharacterized. The record is from RefSeq and is a predicted model, not a curated record. NCBI's taxonomy places the organism in Eukaryota, Metazoa, Chordata, Actinopteri, Cypriniformes, Cyprinidae.
UCAUCUAAAUGGGUUCCGACACAUCUCAUUAUAAAUAUAUGUUGAAAAAAAUUGAAAUGCGAAAACGUACGUCGCAUUUGGCCUGCGUGAGUUGCCGUAGUCGCCUGUUCGUCCUUGUUUGCAUGUUUCGUGCUGCCUACUAAGUUGUAAUAAACGACUGAAAACCUCAGGUGGGAUGUUCUGUGUCUUCAUAACAGAAGAUCAUGUUUGGAAGACGGAUUCCCUUUCAUCAGAUUGCAUUUGCUACUCUGGUUGGAGUGGUGGGAGGUGUGUAUAUCUACAGGCCUAUAUUUGAGGCACCCAGAAAACCUCCAUCUGCACCAGAUCAAGACCUCAAGCCUGACGCAGAAGAACAGAGAGCGGAAACUACCCAGCAAGCACAGCAAGAUGCAUCUGCAGCCAAAGACUGACGUCAAACUAGAGUCUGAAUGUGCCUCGGUGUUACUAAAAGAUCCUUAAUGCUGAACACUGCAAAUAAACUAAGAGAUUCUA